UCAACUGCACAGGGAGAGGCUCCGGGGGAAGGCAUGUGGCUGCCAUGCUGUGCAGGUGCACUGCAGAAUGAAGAAGGAGUUUUGGUGGGGGUCAGACCUCAGCGUAGAAGUGCGCAGCUUUCCUGGAAAGAGCUCAGACAAAAGCAACACCAAUCUCAGCCAGCAAAACAAAUCAGCAUUUCCCCUGAACGGCGUGGAUGAGGAUGAAGAAAAGAGGAAGGAAUGGAGUUUGUUUUCACGUGCCCUGGUGUUGUGCAACAGUCCAACGUCCUCUGGGCAAUUGUAAAAACCCCACGCGCCCCACGCUGCUGAGCUCACGCUGGCCUUAUCUCAGUCAGCAAAUAAAACAAAAUAGUCACCCGACAAUUUAACUGGGAGGACUUUCUGCGGCUCUGCCUUAUCUCUGCACGCAGAGUGAAACCAUCCUGCUGACGUGAGCCCCGUCUUCUGCGAGGGAGCUGGGACGCAGCGUCCGAUGCGUGGUACAGACCUGCCUGGGACCACGCUGUAGUGACGCACAGGGGAGGCCUCCCCAGCCCAGGUUUGCCACGUGGUUGAUAAUUACCAGCUCUGCCUGACCAUCCUUCGGGUCGCAGGGCUGCAGCAUCCCUCUGCCAGCAGUGAGCCAAGUUGAUGACAGCAGUAGAGCUCACCGUUUGGGUGCCUUCAUCCUGCAAGCCCUCCUCACCCACAUACCAGCUGCCUCAUGCUUUGUGUGUUCAGGGCACACGGCACCAUCCCUUACCGUAAGCAUGACAGCUCCUAUCUCUCUGUUUACACAAAGGGCAUGAAGCAAGUAGACAUCCCUGUGGGCCCACCAAGACCUUGGUGGACGGACCAGAACACAGUCCCAAGGAGCACAAGGACAUAAGCAAGUCUGCAUGCGUGACCCUCCAUCAGAGGGCAAAGAGCUGGGUGGUGACUUGAAACGUUCUGGGAAUCAAAAACGUGCCCACACAAGCAAAAAAGUGUUUGCUUCUUGUUUGUCAGCUCUGUGUGAUUCAACUAGACUUGAUCUCGAAGGUCUUCCAGCUGAGAUGAACCCAUGAGUUGUAAAGGAGCUUACCAUGAAGAUAUGCUCUGGUAACGCCAGGGUGACGGUGGGGGGCUGCCCAGGUCCACAUGGUCCCUGAGGAGAUCGCAGCCUGCAUCCCUCCACCAGCCAGCAGGGUGUUCGGUGUGCCUGAGGCCACGUGCAGCUCCUUGCUGUGCUGCCAAGGUCCCUGAGGCCCCCCAAGGACACAGCCCCAGGACAAGCACCCUGCUGCAGGCAUGGAGGCCCAGCAACGCUCCCUGGGCAGCAUAGGGGCUGCUGGGGGGUUCUGCAGCCAAAUGGAGCGAAGUGCGGGGACAGAGACAGAAUGAAAACUUGAGGUUGGGAAAUCAAAAUGCUCGAGAUAAAUUAAAAAAGAUAUAUAUAUAAGCAAUUAAUCAACACUUAAAACCCACUUCCUCCCCCAAAUGGUUUCGAAAGAUACAGUAUUUUUGCAGCCGAGCUCUGAGCAGCAACAAUUUCCUGAUUUCCUGUGCUCAAGCCGUCCAGGAGACCUGGGCACUGCUGGAGGAUUUAUGUCUUACCGGUAUUUGCUCCUUGCACAACUGAAAAACAGCCCUCCGAAAGAAGAGGAACGAUCCUGUUUGUCGUUGGUUUCUCUAUACGCAGCACAUGAAGUGGAUGUAGAAGUGAGAUGUCUCCAGUGCCCAGCAUGGCUGUGCGCUGCCCCCAGGGAUGCUCACAGCUGGGUUCCUGCCCACCCACCCGCUGCUCCCAACUCACUCCCUACUGAGGUGAACCGGUCCAGGGCCAGAACCUUGGGGGUUCUUGGGUAAGGUUCACAUCCUGAAGCGAUUACAGACACAGAUGAGGUGUUUUAAGAAAGAGAAUGAAGAGAAAUGCUAACACGCAUCAUUCCUGGAGGUGUUGCAGAGAUGCGGCGCUGAGGGACCCCAUCAGUGGGCAUGGUGGGAUGGGCUGGGGUUGGACAUAAUGACUUCAGGGGUCUUUUCCUACACUAACAGUCAGUCAGUUUGGCAAUGGCAAAGCAAAAGGGGGAACGUUUGUGCUCCGUGGAGCUAGAGGAAGGCACGAGCCUUGUGCCAAUUCAUCUCAGAUGAACUUUGCCAGAACACAGGAACAAGAUAAAAAGAAGUGGCAGCACUUGAACUCCCUGGGACUACAGAGCAUCUCAUCAAGGGCUGCAGAAAGGAAAUGUAGCUGUGGGAGGGAAGGCGGCUUGAUACACUCUCCCACCCACCUCUGCUUCCUAUGGCUCCAAAUCUGCCCCCUGGGACUCAGCCUCUAUUGAGCAGAGACGCUGAGAAAUAAGAUAUUAUCCACUAAAAGCUAAAUACGAACGUUCAAGCAGAGAUUUAAGGAUAAUAGCACAAGAUUUCUGCAGUGGUCACUGCCCUAGGACAGGAGCCAGGAGAAUCUGAUGGAAGAAUCUGUCCUGUAGCCAGCUGCACAGUCUGGUACCACAGUAGGAAGGAAUAUGUGCAAAAAAAAUGUUGUAAUUAAUUUUUUUUUUUUCCUUAAAGCUCAUAGAUUUCAAGAUUAGAGAAACACACCCAGAAUGGUUUUUAACUAUCCAAAGGAACAAAGGAGGUUUGCAAGUGAUGUAUUUUUAUGAAGACUCAGACAAUAUCCACAAGUCCCUUCUUGUAAUAAAACUUGGAGCUUUGCAUGAA
Molecule: long non-coding RNA, 2688 nt
Organism: Tympanuchus pallidicinctus (lesser prairie-chicken)
Lineage: Eukaryota; Metazoa; Chordata; Aves; Galliformes; Phasianidae
Exons: 2
Source: RefSeq, a predicted model, not a curated record